Molecule: transfer RNA, 73 nt
Filed under: Capra hircus (goat)
Lineage: Eukaryota; Metazoa; Chordata; Mammalia; Artiodactyla; Bovidae
Also listed under: 1 other name
Rfam family: tRNA
About the family: Transfer RNA (tRNA) molecules are approximately 80 nucleotides in length. Their secondary structure includes four short double-helical elements and three loops (D, anti-codon, and T loops).
Source: Rfam by way of RNAcentral
UCCCUGGUGGUCCAGUGGCUAAGACUUUGCACUCCCAAUGCAGGGGUCUGGGGUUCAAUUCUUGAUCAGGGAA